RNAcentral lists this long non-coding RNA (1661 nucleotides) under Hordeum vulgare. Its description in RNAcentral is "long non-coding RNA (HVUL_LNC010156)". Lineage: Eukaryota; Viridiplantae; Streptophyta; Magnoliopsida; Poales; Poaceae. The record is from RNAcentral.
UUUGAAUUAUUUUCAACCAUUUGAUUGACCACAUAUGGUUAAGAUCUGCAACACAAAGAUGUGAUCCCCCGUGCAUGUCCCUCCCUUUCAGUUCUCUUUCCUCGACCUAGGGAAACGGAAGUGGAAGCGAACCUCCUCAAUUGAAAUGUGUUUUAUACUACUAAAUCCCUUUGUAUCAUAAGUUGGCCGCCCUAUCAUCCCAUUCCCCAUCUUUAUCCCAAUCGUCACAAACCCACGGACACAACAGAACUCAGCCUCCACUAGGUUUUGAAGCCGCCAUCGGGGGUAAAACCAAUGGAUAGCAGCGAUAGCUGGGCAUGGUCUGGAUCCCAAGACGAUCGACGUGGAAGACGGGUGGAAUUUCAAGCAGAUGGAUAUCAAGCUACACGUUAGUCACCUCCUUCCCUGCCUCCUUUCAGCCAUCCAUAGGCUAGGCCCAAUUCGAGUUGAUCUGGUUCUGGUUAGUGUUUCCACCUCAUGUUUGUCUCAUUUUUUCGUGCAAUACAAAUCAAGAGCCCUCGCCAUGGCUCCUGAUAUCCUAUUGUGUGUACAACUUACUCCCUUAUCCAAUGCUCACUCUUCUAGACUAAUGAUAUGCUUAUUAAUCCCCAAUCAGUGGUCUAUUGCGUCAUACCUAUCCAAUUUUUUCAUGUGCCAAAUUCGAGGUAUUUGGGUUUGAUUUUAUUAAGUGGUUGGUAUUCCAUCUGCAAUUAAUUCGCUACAUCAAGGAAGAACACUGCUUUUUUUUGUUGCAACAAACUAUAAGUUGCCCGAUCCAAUUAUGUUAAUCUUCCUCGGCAUAUCUUAAUCUUCCAUAUCUUUUUUCUCAGCCAGGUUUGAUGAAAAUUCACUCUUCCCCAUGUGUUGUUUGCUCACAGGCGAGUGCUACAAAUUCAGCCAAAAUUACCAUGUACGUUCCCCACAUUGUAUGUCGUGUGUGCAUUGUUUUUCUUAUGAUAUGAAUGCUUAUGAUGUAAUUGUGUUGUUAAUAGAUAUACACCACCAACGGGCAUGAAAAGGUCACAUAUGUGCUACUACAUUCUUGAAUAAUUUAAUAGGGGUUUUCCUAAGUUAUGAUUUCAAGCAAUGCAAUAUUUAGUUUUCUCAUUCAACAAUUUACGUUCCCCAUAAAUAAGUACUGCUAUAUUUGAUGGGUAAGAAUAGAUGCAGUCUAGCAUCCAAUAGAUGUGACCACAUUUUCACUUUUGCCAAAUGUCUUUGGAAUUUUAGUCACUUGUCGUAAUUAACCAUUUGUGUUCUUCAUGCAGGGCUAUCUCCCUCAGUAUGUUCAACUUAUGUAACCGAGAAGUUAACAUUAUUCUUUGGAAAUGAAAAUUGUGAAGCCUCUCAUAUACUUAUGAAGGAAAAAACAUCGAUGUACAUGAUUCUUAGUUUUCAACAAUUGUCGUUGACCACAACUAUAUUGAUGGUCGUCUCAAGAUCUCACCAAUGGAGGAGCAUCAGUUUUCUGUCCCACUAAUCACCUAUGCCUUAAGAAUCCUAGUUCUUGAGUAUAUUAUCCUCGACAUUCAACUUAUAGUUCUACUUUCUUUGAUGAUUACACUUUGCCACUGUAUACUACAGUUUAUACUAUCCUAUGUUUUGAAUUAACAUCGAUGAAAUGAAAAUAACUAUAUCAUACUAAUACUUAGCCACCACUU